Humulus lupulus (European hop) is the source of this 973-nucleotide RNA transcript. RefSeq lists it as uncharacterized. The record is from RefSeq and is a predicted model, not a curated record. Lineage: Eukaryota; Viridiplantae; Streptophyta; Magnoliopsida; Rosales; Cannabaceae. The transcript is spliced from 4 exons.
AUUAGUGAAGUAGGUCAUGAGAAUUUUGUGUGCUGCCGUGAUAUAUGGAUGAAAACCUAUGUGUUGUUUGAAUUGUUUGUGUUGAUUGUGAUAGAUGGCUAGGCUAGUAAAUUAAGGUAUUUGUUGUUUGAUUUACUUUUAUACUUCAAUGUUUUCUCUUCAAAAUUUUAAUUACAAUACUCCUAUAAAUGAUAUCUCAAUGAAUAUUCAUAUAAAUGAAUAUGAAUGUGUAGAUUAACUUUCAUGUAUGUAGUAUAAUAUAUUCUCAGUUGUGCGAUAGAGAGAUAUCACAAUAUUUUGGUUUCAUUGAGCCACCAUGGUCAUCGAGACUUGGGGCAAAUAUGGAUAAUCGGACUGAAAUUAUCUCAGAGCGUAUCAAUAACACAGUGAUGGGUCAAACUUGGUUAAUGCCAUACCAUUUCUUACGUCACUGGAUGUUAGUGAUCAUUGAUCCAGAUGACCAUACAUGUUACUAUCUUGAUCCACUUAGAAAAUCUCCUCCAAAUGAUUUGAAGAACCUUAUGAACAGUCUCUUCACACAUUAAGCGAAAGACAGGAAGGAAUGAAAAAAAUUUCAAGUGGAAAAUAGUCAAUUGCCCUCGCCAAACAUCGUCAGUAGAGUACGGCUUUUAUAUCAUAAGGAUGAUGAAGGACUAUUGCUUGAAUGAGACACUCAUGCAAUGGCUAACUAGUAAUUGUGGUGGGAAGAAUACAUAUACACAUGGCGAAAUUAAUGAAACUCGAAAUGAAUGGGCAGCCAAGCUUCUUGAGUGGAUGCGUCAUAGCUAGAGUAACUUUUGAAAUCAGAAUUAAAAAAUAUACUAAUUGUAGUUUUUAGUUAGCACUUACAUAGUUAUUGCAAGUGUAUAUUUUGAUCGUAUAAUUUUUAGAUUUGGAACAUACUGAGUUCUAUUGAUUUUGUUUGCCUGUUGAUUCUGUCUGAACUAUGUUGUAAUUACACAAAAAAUUAUGA